Molecule: ribosomal RNA, 1534 nt
Filed under: Salmonella enterica subsp. enterica serovar Typhimurium
Lineage: Bacteria; Pseudomonadati; Pseudomonadota; Gammaproteobacteria; Enterobacterales; Enterobacteriaceae
Description: partial 23S ribosomal RNA
Rfam family: Bacterial large subunit ribosomal RNA
Source: RNAcentral
AGACCCGAAACCCGGUGAUCUAGCCAUGGGCAGGUUGAAGGUUGGGUAACACUAACUGGAGGACCGAACCGACUAAUGUUGAAAAAUUAGCGGAUGACCUGUGGCUGGGGGUGAAAGGCCAAUCAAACCGGGAGAUAGCUGGUUCUCCCCGAAAGCUAUUUAGGUAGCGCCUCGUGAAUUCAUCUCCGGGGGUAGAGCACUGUUUCGGCUAGGGGGCCAUCCCGGCUUACCAACCCGAUGCAAACUGCGAAUACCGGAGAAUGUUAUCACGGGAGACACACGGCGGGUGCUAACGUCCGUCGUGAAGAGGGAAACAACCCAGACCGCCAGCUAAGGUCCCAAAGUCAUGGUUAAGUGGGAAACGAUGUGGGAAGGCCCAGACAGCCAGGAUGUUGGCUUAGAAGCAGCCAUCAUUUAAAGAAAGCGUAAUAGCUCACUGGUCGAGUCGGCCUGCGCGGAAGAUGUAACGGGGCUAAACCAUGCACCGAAGCUGCGGCAGCGAACGUAUCACCCAAGACAACUUUACGGAGUUGACGAUUGACGGAGCGAAGCGACGUCAAAGCGUUCAUUAAAGUCGAGUUGGCUUAGGGAUACGUUCGUUGGGUAGGGGAGCGUUCUGUAAGCCUGUGAAGGUGUGUCGUGAGGCAUGCUGGAGGUAUCAGAAGUGCGAAUGCUGACAUAAGUAACGAUAAAGCGGGUGAAAAGCCCGCUCGCCGGAAGACCAAGGGUUCCUGUCCAACGUUAAUCGGGGCAGGGUGAGUCGACCCCUAAGGCGAGGCCGAAAGGCGUAGUCGAUGGGAAACGGGUUAAUAUUCCCGUACUUGGUGUUACUGCGAAGGGGGGACGGAGAAGGCUAUGUUGGCCGGGCGACGGUUGUCCCGGUUUAAGCGUGUAGGUGUGUGUUCCAGGUAAAUCCGGUUCACUUUAACACUGAGGCGUGAUGACGAGGCACUACGGUGCUGAAGCAACAAAUGCCCUGCUUCCAGGAAAAGCCUCUAAGCAUCAGGUAACAUCAAAUCGUACCCCAAACCGACACAGGUGGUCAGGUAGAGAAUACCAAGGCGCUUGAGAGAACUCGGGUGAAGGAACUAGGCAAAAUGGUGCCGUAACUUCGGGAGAAGGCACGCUGACACGUAGGUGAAGUGAUUUACUCACGGAGCUGAAGUCAGUCGAAGAUACCAGCUGGCUGCAACUGUUUAUUAAAAACACAGCACUGUGCAAACACGAAAGUGGACGUAUACGGUGUGACGCCUGCCCGGUGCCGGAAGGUUAAUUGAUGGGGUCAGCGCAAGCGAAGCUCCUGAUCGAAGCCCCGGUAAACGGCGGCCGUAACUAUAACGGUCCUAAGGUAGCGAAAUUCCUUGUCGGGUAAGUUCCGACCUGCACGAAUGGCGUAAUGAUGGCCAGGCUGUCUCCACCCGAGACUCAGUGAAAUUGAACUCGCUGUGAAGAUGCAGUGUACCCGCGGCAAGACGGAAAGACCCCGUGAACCUUUACUAUAGCUUGACACUGAACAUUGAGCCUUGAUGUGUAG